Molecule: ribosomal RNA, 468 nt
Filed under: uncultured bacterium
Lineage: Bacteria
Description: partial 16S ribosomal RNA
Rfam family: Bacterial small subunit ribosomal RNA
Source: RNAcentral
GAUGAACGCUGGCGGCGUGCCUAACACAUGCAAGUCGAGCGAUUCUCUUCGGAGAAGAGCGGCGGACGGGUGAGUAACGCGUGGGUAACCUGCCCUGUACACACGGAUAACAUACCGAAAGGUAUGCUAAUACGAGAUAAUAUGCUUUUAUCGCAUGGUAGAAGUAUCAAAGCUCCGGCGGUACAGGAUGGACCUGCGUCUGAUUAGCUAGUUGGUAAGGUAACGGCUUACCAAGGCGACGAUCAGUAGCCGACCUGAGAGGGUGAUCGGCCACAUUGGAACUGAGACACGGUCCAAACUCCUACGGGAGGCAGCAGUGGGGAAUAUUGCACAAUGGGCGAAAGCCUGAUGCAGCAACGCCGCGUGAGCGAUGAAGGCCUUCGGGUCGUAAAGCUCUGUCCUCAAGGAAGAUAAUGACGGUACUUGAGGAGGAAGCCCCGGCUAGCUAUGUGCCAGCCGCCGCGGUAA